GAUGAACGCUAGCUACAGGCUUAACACAUGCCAGUCGAGGGGAAACGACAUCGAAAGCUUGCUUUUGAUGGGCGUCGACCCGCGCACGGGUGAGUAACGCGUAUCCAACCUGCCCAUCACUUGGGAAUAACCUUGCGAAAGUAAGACUAAUACCCAUUGACAUCCCACGAAGACAUCUGAAUGGGAUUAAAGAUUUAUCGCUGAUGGAUGGAGACGCGUCUGAUUAGCUUGUUGGCGGGGUAACGGCCCACCAAGGCAACGAUCAGUAGGGGUUCUGAGAGUAAGGUCCCCCACAUUGGAACUGAGGCACGGUCCAAAAUCGGACGGGAGGCAGCAGUGAGGAAUAUUGGUCAAGGGGCGAGAGCCUGAACCAGCCAAGUAGCGUGCAGGAUGACGGCCCUAUGGGUUGUAAACUGCUUUUAUAAGAGAAUAAAGUGAGUCUCGUGAGACUUUUUGCAUGUACCUUAUGAAUAAGGACCGGCUAAUUCCGUG
Molecule: ribosomal RNA, 492 nt
Filed under: uncultured bacterium
Lineage: Bacteria
Description: partial 16S ribosomal RNA
Rfam family: Bacterial small subunit ribosomal RNA
Source: RNAcentral